This 494-nucleotide ribosomal RNA is filed under the name uncultured bacterium. RNAcentral's name for it is "partial 16S ribosomal RNA". It matches the Rfam family "Bacterial small subunit ribosomal RNA", at positions 28 to 507 of the family's 1533-position model. The record is from RNAcentral.
GACGAACGCUGGCGGCGUGCUUAGCACAUGCAAGUCGAACGGUGAAGCGCCUUCCUUUUUGGUGGGUGUGGAUGAGUGGCGAACGGGUGAGUAACGCGUGAGUAACCUGCCCCCUUCUUCUGGAUAACCGCAUGAAAGUGUGGCUAAUACGGGAUAUUCUGGGUCUGUCGCAUGAUGGGUCUGGGAAAGAUAUUGUUUCGGUGGGGGAUGGGCUCGCGGCCUAUCAGCUUGUUGGUGGGGUGAUGGCCUACCAAGGCGGUGACGGGUAGCCGGCCUGAGAGGGUGGACGGUCACACUGGGACUGAGACACGGCCCAGACUCCUACGGGAGGCAGCAGUGGGGACUAUUGCACAAUGGGCGCAAGCCUGAUGCAGCGACGCCGCGUGAGGGAUGGAGGCCUUCGGGUUGUGAACCUCUUUCGCCAGUGAAGCAGGCCUGCCUCGUUUGUGGGUGGGUUGACGGUAGCUGGAUAAGAAGCGCCGGCUAACUACGUG